This 75-nucleotide transfer RNA is filed under the name Planctomycetales bacterium. Its description in RNAcentral is "tRNA-Pro". It matches the Rfam family "tRNA". From Rfam's summary of the family: Transfer RNA (tRNA) molecules are approximately 80 nucleotides in length. Their secondary structure includes four short double-helical elements and three loops (D, anti-codon, and T loops). Lineage: Bacteria; Pseudomonadati; Planctomycetota; Planctomycetia; Planctomycetales. The record is from RNAcentral.
CGGGGCGUAGCGCAGUUUGGUUAGCGCGCCUGGCUUGGAACCAGGAGGUCGGCGGUUCGAAUCCGUCCGCCCCGA